GUGCUCACUUCGGCAGCACAUAUACUAAAAUUGGAAUGAUGCAGAGAACAUUAGCAUAGCCUCUCUGCAAGGAUGACGUGCAAAUUGGUGAAGUGUUCCAUAUUUUU
Molecule: small nuclear RNA, 107 nt
Organism: Molossus molossus (Pallas's mastiff bat)
Lineage: Eukaryota; Metazoa; Chordata; Mammalia; Chiroptera; Molossidae
Source: RefSeq, a predicted model, not a curated record